This 253-nucleotide ribosomal RNA is filed under the name uncultured bacterium. RNAcentral's name for it is "partial 16S ribosomal RNA". It matches the Rfam family "Bacterial small subunit ribosomal RNA", at positions 524 to 776 of the family's 1533-position model. The record is from RNAcentral.
UACAGAGGGUGCAAGCGUUAUUCGGAAUUACUGGGCGUAAAGCGCAUGUAGGCGGUUUAGUAAGUCUGGUGUGAAAUCCCUCGACUCAAUCGGGGAAGUGCAUUGGAUACUGCUAGACUAGAGUAUGGGAGAGGUGAGUGGAAUUCCAGGUGUAGAGGUGAAAUUCGUAGAUAUCUGGAGGAACAACAGAGGCGAAGGCGGCUCACUGGACCAUUACUGACGCUGAGAUGCGAAAGCGUGGGGAGCAAACAGG